AUGAUGUAUCUCCAUAAUCAACAUUACCACCUGAUUUUAAACCCGCCCACUUUUUUGGGGGCAUCCUAUGUGUGUAAUUUCUGUUACAGUACAUAUAAUACACCAUUACACCACAGCUGUAAACAUAGAUGUAACACUUGUUACACACUCUGUCAACACCACAGGGGUCCCACAGUGAAAUGCAGCAACUGUAACCGCAUCUGCAAGUCACAACACUGUUACCAGCAACACAAAUUACCUGAAUUAAAACACAACAUGAUUCCCAGUGAUAAUAUGAAGCAUUGCAUGCACUGCGGCAACACAUAUAUAGAAUCCAAGAAAUUGCCACACAAUUGUGCGCAGCCUAGAUGCGAGCACUGCCGCGAACCUAAGUUAGCAGGAGACUCCGACCAUCAGUGUUUCAUACAGCCUGUUGAAAAACAGAAGCCUGGCGAUAAAUACAUUUUAUAUGAUUUUGAGACGAGGUACCACAACGGUAAACACGAGGCUAACUUUGUGUGUGCGUCUGAUCUGCAGGGCAAUAAGUUCACAUUUAAUACAUUAAAGUGUGUGGAGGCGUUUGUGCAGCAUUACAGAUGCCCAAGGUUUCGUGGGUACACUUUCAUAGCACAUAAUGCAUCUGGGUUUGAUAAUUACAUACUCCUGGAGUACUUGGUCAGACAGAGCAUAACACCUAGUGUCAUAAUGAACGGCAGCCGUGUGAUUUUGAUGUAUGACCGGGACUAUGACCAGCGGUGGAUUGAUUCGUUGAGCUUUUUGCCCACGGGCCUUGCCAAAAUACCCUCUGCUUUAGGUUUUCAAGACCUGCAGAAGGGCCAUUUCCCACACAGGUUUAAUAUGAGGGAUAAUGAGCAUUAUGUGGGCCCGUACCCAGACCCCUCCUUCUACGGCUAUGAGCACAUGUCUGAAAGUGAUAAGGUGCGAUUCAUGGAAUGGUACCAGGUUGCCUCACAGAAUCCCUUUGAUUUUCAGGCUGAACUCAGGCGCUACUGUGUUAAUGAUGUUGAUGUCCUGCGUAAAGCAUGCAGCAUAUAUCGUGACACGCUACUGGGUUGUACACAAGUUGAUCCAUUCACGUAUACCACCUUGGCUGCAUUUAGUAUGGGUGUGUAUAAAACGCUGUUUCUGCCCAGAGACAGGGACAAAAGAAAUAUUUUUAAUGUGCAUCUGCUCAUUAGAUUGUUUUAUGUACUUUAA
RNAcentral lists this long non-coding RNA (1197 nucleotides) under Oreochromis niloticus (Nile tilapia). RNAcentral's name for it is "lncRNA (ENSONIG00000034886.1)". Lineage: Eukaryota; Metazoa; Chordata; Actinopteri; Cichliformes; Cichlidae. The record is from RNAcentral.